UAAGGAAUAUUGCGCAAUGGGGGAAACCCUGACGCAGCAACGCCGCGUGGAGGAUGACACUUUUCGGAGCGUAAACUCCUUUUAUCAGGAAAGAAUAAUGACGGUACCUGAUGAAUAAGCACCGGCUAACUCCGUGCCAGCAGCCGCGGUAAUACGGGGGGUGCAAGCGUUACUCGGAAUCACUGGGCGUAAAGGACGCGUAGGCGGAUUAUCAAGUCUUUUGUGAAAUCUAGUGGCUUAACCACUAAACUGCUUAGGAAACUGAUAGUCUAGAGUAGGGGAGAGGUAGAUGGAAUUCUUGGUGUAGGGGUAAAAUCCGUAGAGAUCGAGAAGAAUACCCAUUGCGAAAGCGAUCUGCUGGAACCUAACUGACGCUGAGGCGUGAAAGCGUGGGUAGCAAACAGG
RNAcentral lists this ribosomal RNA (405 nucleotides) under bacterium. RNAcentral describes it as "partial 16S ribosomal RNA". It matches the Rfam family "Bacterial small subunit ribosomal RNA", at positions 355 to 776 of the family's 1533-position model. The record is from RNAcentral.